GCUGGGUGUAAUGGCACACACCUGUAAUCCCAGUGACUUGGGAGGCUGAGGCAGGAGGAAAUUGUGAGACUUCAAAGCCAGCCUCAACAAAAGUGAGGUCCUAAGCAACUUAGUGAGACUCUG
RNAcentral lists this small RNA (123 nucleotides) under Marmota monax (woodchuck). Lineage: Eukaryota; Metazoa; Chordata; Mammalia; Rodentia; Sciuridae. The record is from RNAcentral.